UUUAAAUUGCUAAACAGGGGUACCUCUGGGCAGUAUGUCAGAAUACCACUUUUUAAAUGUUUUAUGAUUUAUUUAUUUUUCUAUUUCUUGAGGUUAGUUUUAACUGAUGUGUAUCUGUAUAUCUAUUUGUGUAUAUUUUGUCAUGAUCACGCAACAGAGGCUGAAAAGUGUGGAAGAGACAGUUUUCAGGAACAACAAGCAAUUAUUCCUACUUUCCAAGUUAUUUUGACGCCAUGGUGGCUCAUACCUAUAAUCUGAGUACUUUGGGAGGCUGAGUGGGCGGAUCCCCUGAGCCCAGAGAGGUCAACGUUAUGGUGAGCUGUGAUCACACCACUGCACUUCAGCAUGGGAGAUAGAGUGAGACCCUCAGAAAAAAUAAAUAAAUAAAACCACCAGCACCACAAACAAC
This 409-nucleotide small RNA is filed under the name Pongo abelii (Sumatran orangutan). RNAcentral's name for it is "3prime overlapping ncRNA". The record is from RNAcentral. Lineage: Eukaryota; Metazoa; Chordata; Mammalia; Primates; Hominidae.